Passer montanus (Eurasian tree sparrow) is the source of this 3333-nucleotide RNA transcript. It is a transcript of the gene named testis expressed 33, with no coding region annotated. The record is from RefSeq and is a predicted model, not a curated record. NCBI's taxonomy places the organism in Eukaryota, Metazoa, Chordata, Aves, Passeriformes, Passeridae. The transcript has 3 exons.
UUUUGCCUCUUGAUAAAUCAUAGAUAUUUGGAUUUUUUAAAAAUCAGUUAAAGAAGAGAAAGAAAUGUCAUGUUCACAUCCAUGGGGCUCCUCAGGUUUGGAAAGUCACUGAAACCUCCUCACACUUUGGAGACCCAGUCAAACGUGGAAGGCCUAUGAGAUCACUCUUGGCCGUGUCUGGUGGCUGGUCAGAGUGGCCAGUUCCCACACCUGUCUAAGGAGGUUUUUUUGCCUGGGAAGAACAGCUCCCUCUUUCCUCAAAGGCUGCAUGUCAGGAAAGUCAGUGUUAGGCUAUGCUAAACAUUUAGUUCAGAAAGAAAGAUCACGUUUAACCCUUUUCAGCCCUUUGAUCAAUAUAUAUCUUUUCUGAUUGGUUGCCUAUUGUCCCUCACAGAAUUGGUUUAGCAAAAAUAAGUAGACAUACUUCUGUGGUUUCUUUUAUCCAGGAGGAUGGUAAAACAGCCUUGAAGUCCUUCUUGGUCUCAAGAUGUGGAGUUCUCUGAAUAUUGCUUUGACUUUGGACCUUCAGGGUCAGAAGUAAAAUGAAAAAUAACAAUCACGUGCAGUUGCAGUGUUUUUAUAAUAGCAGUGGCAAAAACAUCAUAUACAAUUACAAACUAGAAAGUAGGAACAGUUGCAGGCUUUGCUGUCAUUUUGUCCCAGAGGAACUGGGAAAAUUAUUGAUGAAAGGGAUUUGGGAAAUGCACACAUUGCCUCAUUACACAGAAAUUCUGCUUUGUUGGAAGAAAUGGGAGAGGAGGAAUUUCUACAUCAGCAGACUGGAAGGUUCUUCCUACCAAAUAUAGUAAUAAUAACAAACAGACAUGUUUUUGUUUUAAGUAGGAGGUGGGAGUUAGCACAGCAGUUUAUUUAGCAGCAGCUUCCUGCACUUUGAUCAUGUGUAAGUGUAUGGCUCUUCCUUAAAAAGAAAGAGUGAUAGGGAAAAGAACCAGAUCAUUCCCUGUGAGUCAGGACUGGCUUCCUCUCCUCAUGUCUUGUGGCUCUGUUCUUUUUGUGGAGAGAGGUUCUGCAGAACAUACAGCACUGACUCCUGGAGUCUAGCUGAUAAAGUAACUUCGGCUUCAGGACCCCAAUACUGUGUAAAUCUUGGUGCUGCAAAGACCCCUCUCAGGAUAAAAACCAAGGCAGCCCUGGUGGAGCACUAGGCUUCCUAUCACAUAGGCUGCCACCUUCAUUCCCACAACUGCCUCAAGAGCAGAAGAUAAGGUCUGUGUCAUGUCCUGAGCUAAUCUGACAAAUCCAAACGUACAUUCCUACCUGAUCCAGAUCCCAUUUGUCCAACUGCUAGUUCCAGCAGGCUCACAAUUACCAUAUGGUAAUUGUGAUUAAAUUCCACCACUGUGGGCCAGGGCUUCAGUUUUAACUUGUCACAGCCUUUGCAUGGGCUAAACCUAUCAAGUCUCCUUGGGAUGAGGAACACAUCCAACAAGCAGAACACGACAGAGGCUUACACAGAUGUUCCCUCUGCAGGAAAGGCACUUCUCAUCCUAGUUUGUCCCAUGCAAAUGCAAUGCCUACCGAAGCCGCUAAGGGAGAUUCAAGGAGAGGCCCAGGUCCCAGGGAUUAGUCAUAGCUCAAAGAGCUGUGCAGGGAUGGAAAUGCCAGGAGUUUGCUGCACUUUGGGAAUGUGGAUUGACAGAGUUUUGCUGUUGUUUGUAUUUCCAGAAAUGUCAAGCUCAGGGCAAUGCAACAUUAGAAACGGGACAGAAAGGACCCAACGACUGUACUGAAAUGACAAAACACUCCUUGGCCUGGACAUCUCUUUCAGAUUACCAACAGCUGGAUUACAAUUUGAGAGUAAAUCUCUUCCAAGGGUGAAAAGUGAAUAUGAAUCAUAACCCCUGUCAUCCUGUCCAGAGUUGUCCAAAUGGACACCAAUGUUCCCUGUCAUCUCUGGUUGCUAGUUACCUCCAAUUCCAGUGCCAACAUAAUUUCUCCUCCAGACCUUUAGACACGUGGAGCUCUGAAAUAUCUUUCCCUAAUCUCUGUUUCCAAGGUCUCCAGGAUCUCUCCAUCUAAGCAAAUGUUGGAAACUGAGCAUUCAUCCAAGAAACUCUGAAAUAAUUGUCCCUUGUCGUAAUUUCUCAAGUACCAGCAUAAGGCAGAUUCCUUUUCCUUGUACAGCAUGUUCCAUGACAAGACCUUGCUGGGUAUUGAGGACUGCAUUGUCCUGGGUUUGUGUGGUCACACAGAAAAGAAGGACAUCUUUCCUCUGGGAGCCCAAAAUCAAUAUUGUCAAGACAAAGGUGUGAUUAAAAGGAAGGUGAAGAGGAAAGGAUUGGAGAUUAAAAUAAAGCCCCCUCGUGGCUAGAAGUAAAGAGGGGAUAAAAAGAGAAGUCACAGUUGGCAACUCUUUGUUAAGUAUUGUGGCAGAAAAUGAGAUCAAGAAGGCCUGGAGUGGUAAGAUGGUGAGGGUUUUGUGGAGCUGCUAGGAAGCUACUCACUUAGACGAGGAGAUUCAACAGGAGGUAAGUGGGCACUUGACUGAAGAAGGGGCACUGGGAUACAAAUAAAGAUGGUACCUUGCAGUACCCUCUGCGUAGAUCUCAUAUGUGAGGAUGAAAAGCAGAUAAAUUGGCAAACACAAGUAACCUCCUGGCUGGUGAUGAUGAGGCUAUUGUUCAGCACCCAGCCUCAGACCUGAUCAAAGGUCCUGCAGUCAACACAUGCCUUUUCUUGAGUCCUUGCAACUGCUGGUGUUGCUCCCCUGCUCAAAUCCAGGACUGCAGCAGGGUGAUUUCUACAUAUAAUUCCUUAUUUUCUGUUCCUUACAGGUGGCCCACUGAAGAUCCAAAGCUUGAUGAGAGAUUCCUACACCCCUGACAUAUUUCAGAAGGCAGUCAUAGAUCCCAGGCAUUGGCAUGGAAGGAGAAUUAGUGAGCUAGGAAGAUGGUAUGAGAAAUAUUUCCUAGAUCUUAAUGUGCAGAAAGAAAUGAAGAAGAAACAUGGGGGGAAUAAAACAACCAAUUCCUAGAAGAUGAAGGUUGAAGAUUGGUGUGCAUUCAACAAUGAGUCUUUUUCUUCCACCAUCUAAUAAACCUGCCUGUGAAACCUGAACCCAUUGCCUGCUGGCUGGUAACAGCAGAUUUGUUCUUGGUGCUUUCUCCCCUCUCUAUUAAAGUGUCUCUGGGGAGAGCAGUGUGAGAUAAGUCUGAAUAUGCAUACAAGAAAAGAAUCAUUUUGUUGUUCCCACCACUGGUAUGGUGGGAAGGAUUAGUGUGUGAGGUCCAUACCCUUGCAGAAGGAUGUGGUGUUGAGAGGAGCCCACACAGAAAUUCACCUGCUCAGCAUAUAAGUUGGAGCAGGACCUGA